GCCAGUGUGGUAUAAUGGUUUGAAUGUUGGACUAUGUCACUGGUGACCAGGGUUUGAUUCCCAGCUCUGCCA
Molecule: non-coding RNA, 72 nt
Organism: Phrynosoma platyrhinos (Desert horned lizard)
Lineage: Eukaryota; Metazoa; Chordata; Lepidosauria; Squamata; Phrynosomatidae
Source: the annotation of a GenBank genome assembly